GACGAACGCUGGCGGCGUGCUUAACACAUGCAAGUCGAGCGGUAAGGCCCUUUCGGGGGUACACGAGCGGCGAACGGGUGAGUAACACGUGGGUGACCUGCCCUCAGCUCUGGGAUAAGCCUGGGAAACUGGGUCUAAUACCGGAUAUGACUCCAUGACGCAUGUUGUGGGGUGGAAAGCCUUGUGCGGCUGAGGAUGGGCCCGCGGCCUAUCAGCUUGUUGGUGGGGUGAUGGCCUACCAAGGCGACGACGGGUAGCCGGCCUGAGAGGGCGACCGGCCACACUGGGACUGAGACACGGCCCAGACUCCUACGGGAGGCAGCAGUGGGGAAUCUUGCGCAAUGGGCGAAAGCCUGACGCAGCGACGCCGCGUGAGGGAUGACGGCCUCGGU
Molecule: ribosomal RNA, 392 nt
Filed under: uncultured bacterium
Lineage: Bacteria
Description: bacterial SSU rRNA
Rfam family: Bacterial small subunit ribosomal RNA
Source: RNAcentral